Molecule: non-coding RNA, 1177 nt
Organism: Zonotrichia albicollis (white-throated sparrow)
Lineage: Eukaryota; Metazoa; Chordata; Aves; Passeriformes; Passerellidae
Source: RefSeq, a predicted model, not a curated record
CAGGGAGGAGCUGCCCAACCUCUCCAGGUUUAACCUCGAGUCUUCAUCAGCUGCCAAGGCAAGAAACAGGCACAGGGUGACCCUAUGGAGUUCCAGUUGCUCUGACCUGCAGGAAUGGAUGUGACUGUAACUCCUCACAUGGACAUGUAAGAAAAAAACCUGAAAUAAUAUCCCGACAUUUCAAAACUUGCAUAAAGAUCAGGAAUUUGAAGACCUUGGAUGUGCCUGUUAUUGGUUUAUUCACUGCAUAAAAGGACAUUUGCAAAGGACAGAGGGGAUUUCAUUAUAGGACUUAAAGUAAGAAUACAAAAAAUUCCCAGUGCUGAGUGGAGACAAUCUGCAUCUCUGGCCAAGGAUUAUUCCUUAAAUCAGAGCACUGCUAGCAGGACUCUUCACAUUAGCAGGGAAGAUCUGAGCACAGUGACUUGAACCUAAUGCAAUCAUGGCUAGAGCCAGCUAUGAUGUGACAGAUAUUACUCAGAUAUUGAGUCAGGGGUACCUGGAAAUGCAAAUUACAUUGUGGAAGGCUUGAGGAGAUGCUGGCUUAGAGAGCCCAAGAUUUUCAGAGCAGACUGGGGACUGCUGAUACCUCUAAACCAGCAGAACAGCUGCUCCAAAGCAGGCAUCCUCCAAGGAAAGCUAAUGAAGCACUCUGACCAGCAGCUGCUGUCCUUUGUCUUUCCUCAAGGAAGAUUCAGCAUCUCAGAGCCUCCUGGAGUGCGUCAUGCUCAGCUUGGGCAGCCUGCCCAGGGAUCAUUGCCUCUGCUUUGGGCUGGAGGUGUCACUCAGCCACUCUCCUUUGUCACUCAGCCACUCUCCUUUGUCACUCAGCCACUCUUUGCUCUCCCAAAAUGUCAAAGGCAUCUCUCUGGGGUGACAGUGCCAACGUCAUCGUUGUGCCAAGCAAGGAAACAGCUCAUCCCAAACAAAGGUACAGAGCCCUGGAUCCAUGGGAGAGGGAGCUCAAUGGGAAUGGCACUUCGAGAACUUGGGAAUUGAUUUCAAACUCUUCUGCAGAAUUUUGUGGGAAAGUUUUCAAAGUGCUUCUUUACGCCUAUUUAGUUUUAGAAGUGCCUCAGGGCAGCAGUUGGUAGAUAAAUUACAGUAAUAAAAUUAUUACAGUAGAUAAAUUACUGAACAAAAUAAGUAUUACAGUAGAUAAAUUACUGAACAAAGU